Molecule: non-coding RNA, 74 nt
Organism: Potamilus streckersoni
Lineage: Eukaryota; Metazoa; Mollusca; Bivalvia; Unionida; Unionidae
Source: the annotation of a GenBank genome assembly
CGCUCCGGUGGCCUAACGGUUAGAGCGUCCGCCUUGGAUGCAGUAGGUCGUGGGUUCAAUCCCCAGUCGAGUUA